GAUGAACGCUGGCGGGCGUGCCUUAUGCAUGCAAGUCGAACGGGAAAGUAGCAAUACUUUCCAGUGGCAGACGGGUGAGUAACGCGUAGGAAUCUACCCCUAGGUGGAGCAUAGCCCCGAGAAAUCGGGGGUAAUUCUCCAUAGUUCCCGCAAGGGUAAAGGACUUAACGGUCCGCCAAGGGAGGAGCCUGCGUCCUAUCAGCUAGUUGGUAAGGUAAAAGCUUACCAAGGCGAUGACGGGUAGCUGGAUUGAGAGGUCGAUCAGCCACAACUGCACUGAGACACGGGCAGUACACCUACGGGUGGCAGCAACCAAGGAAUAUUGCGCAAUGGACGAAAGUCUGACGCAGCGACGCCGCGUGGAGGAAGACGGCCCUAGGGUUGUAAACUCCUUUUGCCAAGCCGUUCACAGCUUGGAGAAUAAGCCCCUACUAACUACGUGCCAGAAGUCUCGGUAAUACGUAGGGGGCAAGCGUUAUCCGGAAUUUACUGGGCGUAAAGUGUGCCUAGGGCGCCCCAACAAGUCGUGCUUUAAAAUACUAAGGCUUAACCUUAGAGCUGAGUGCGAUACUAUUGGGGUAGAGGAUUGAUAGGGUAGCUGGACAGUACGUGUAGCAGUAAAAUGCGUUGAUAUGUACUGGAACACCAAGGGCGAAGGCAGGCUGCUGGGUUUUUCCUGACGCUGAGGCACGAAAAGCUAGGGUAGCGAAACAGAUUAGAUACCUGUGUAGUCCUAGCCGUAAACGAUGUCCGCUAACUCUAGCUGCUUGCAGCUGGGGUUCAAGCUAACGCGUUAAGCGGACCGCCUGGGGAGUACGACCGCAAGGUUAAAACUCAAAGGAAUUGACGGGGACCCGCACAACUGGUGGAGCGUGUGGUUUAAUUCGAGACAAAGCGAAACACCUUACCAGGGCUUGACAUAAUACCGUUUUAUGCCUAUGGAAACACUGGCAGAUCCGCAAGGAUGGUAUUACAGGUGAUGCAUGGCUGUCGUCAGCUCGUGUCGUGAGAUGUUCCCUUAAGUGGGGCAACG
This 1033-nucleotide ribosomal RNA is filed under the name uncultured Microgenomates group bacterium. Its description in RNAcentral is "bacterial SSU rRNA". It matches the Rfam family "Bacterial small subunit ribosomal RNA", at positions 28 to 1094 of the family's 1533-position model. The record is from RNAcentral.